GCCACGGAUGAAGCACGAGUGCUACGUCUGUACAACAAGGGGGCGCGCCGCCGAUU
Molecule: small RNA, 56 nt
Filed under: Leishmania major strain Friedlin
Lineage: Eukaryota; Euglenozoa; Kinetoplastea; Trypanosomatida; Trypanosomatidae
Description: Leishmania major sRNA LMJF_22_snoRNA0014
Source: RNAcentral